RNAcentral lists this ribosomal RNA (253 nucleotides) under uncultured bacterium. RNAcentral describes it as "partial 16S ribosomal RNA". It matches the Rfam family "Bacterial small subunit ribosomal RNA", at positions 524 to 776 of the family's 1533-position model. The record is from RNAcentral.
UACGGAGGGUGCAAGCGUUGUUCGGAUUUACUGGGCGUAAAGCGCGCGCAGGUGGGUGUGCAAGUCGGAAGUGAAAUCUUGAGGCUCAACCUCGAGGCUGCUCCCGAAACUGCACGCCUAGGGACUGGUAGAGGCUGGUAGAAUUCCUGGUGUAGCGGUGAAAUGCGCAGAUAUCAGGAGGAACACCGGUGGCGAAGGCGGGUCUCUGGGCCGAUACUGACGCUGAGGAGCGAAAGCGCGGGGAGCGAACAGG